RNAcentral lists this transfer RNA (89 nucleotides) under Hypoxylon sp. EC38. RNAcentral's name for it is "tRNA-Pro". The record is from RNAcentral. Lineage: Eukaryota; Fungi; Ascomycota; Sordariomycetes; Xylariales; Hypoxylaceae. RNAcentral also lists the same sequence under 1 other name.
GGCCUGGUGGUCUAGUGGUAUGAUUCGCGCUUAGGGAAAACCUAUGCAUAAUUUGCGCGAGGUCCCGGGUUCGAUCCCCGGCCAGGCCC